GGAGCUACUGACUUAGAAAUACAGAUUCUUCAGUGGUGAUGGCCUGCUGCACCCAGCAGAGUUGGAGUGAACCUACUGUCAGACAGUGGCGUACCGUGGGGUUUCAGUCAGGGCCUUCAAUUCUUCAGUGCUGAUGGCCUGCUGCACCCAGCAGAGUCAGUGUGAACUCCUGUAAGACAACAUCACCAAGAUGCUAUAAACCGCAGGAUUAGUAAGUAAAGUCUCGAACAUACACACUGUUUCAUAAGUUUGGGUUGGUAUGAUUAUUUUGUUUUUUUUAUGUUUUUGAAAGUCUCUUAUGCCAACCACAGUUUAAUGUAUGAAAUUAUUACAAUUUACUACAAUUUAAAAUAACUGUUUUCUAUUUGAAUAUAUUUGGAGAGAUAAU
Molecule: long non-coding RNA, 388 nt
Organism: Onychostoma macrolepis
Lineage: Eukaryota; Metazoa; Chordata; Actinopteri; Cypriniformes; Cyprinidae
Exons: 3
Source: RefSeq, a predicted model, not a curated record